Molecule: ribosomal RNA, 119 nt
Organism: Callithrix jacchus (white-tufted-ear marmoset)
Lineage: Eukaryota; Metazoa; Chordata; Mammalia; Primates; Cebidae
Source: Ensembl
GUCUACGGCCAUACCACCAUGAACAUGUCCAAUCUCAUCUGAUCUUGGAAGCUAAGCAGCAUUGGGCCUAGUUAGUACUUGGGUGGGAGAGCACCUGGGAAUACUGGGUGCUUUAGGCA